GAGUGGUAGUUCAGUUGGUUAGAAUACCGGCCUGUCACGCCGGUGGUCGCGGGUUCGAGUCCCGUCCACUCC
Molecule: transfer RNA, 72 nt
Filed under: marine eukaryotic metagenome
Rfam family: tRNA
About the family: Transfer RNA (tRNA) molecules are approximately 80 nucleotides in length.
Source: RNAcentral